This 465-nucleotide ribosomal RNA is filed under the name uncultured Klebsiella sp. RNAcentral's name for it is "bacterial SSU rRNA". It matches the Rfam family "Bacterial small subunit ribosomal RNA", at positions 338 to 795 of the family's 1533-position model. Lineage: Bacteria; Pseudomonadati; Pseudomonadota; Gammaproteobacteria; Enterobacterales; Enterobacteriaceae. The record is from RNAcentral.
CCUACGGGUGGCAGCAGUGGGGAAUAUUGCACAAUGGGCGCAAGCCUGAUGCAGCCAUGCCGCGUGUGUGAAGAAGGCCUUCGGGUUGUAAAGCACUUUCAGCGGGGAGGAAGGCGUUAAGGUUAAUAACCUUGGCGAUUGACGUUACCCGCAGAAGAGGCACCGGCUAACUCCGUGCCAGCAGCCGCGGUAAUACGGAGGGUGCAAGCGUUAAUCGGAAUUACUGGGCGUAAAGCGCACGCAGGCGGUCUGUCAAGUCGGAUGUGAAAUCCCCGGGCUCAACCUGGGAACUGCAUUCGAAACUGGCAGGCUAGAGUCUUGUAGAGGGGGGUAGAAUUCCAGGUGUAGCGGUGAAAUGCGUAGAGAUCUGGAGGAAUACCGGUGGCGAAGGCGGCCCCCUGGACAAAGACUGACGCUCAGGUGCGAAAGCGUGGGGAGCAAACAGGAUUAGAUACCCCUGUAGUC